AACGACCACAAGGGGUGCCGAUGAUGUCGGCUGAGAUUGGGCACGUAAUGCCUUUACUCUUUGAACCUGUAAGUUAACACUUGCGUAGGGAUUGUGGAUAGAAACCGAC
RNAcentral lists this non-coding RNA (109 nucleotides) under Lysinibacillus contaminans. Its description in RNAcentral is "TPP sequence". It matches the Rfam family "TPP riboswitch aptamer (THI element)". From Rfam's summary of the family: Vitamin B(1) in its active form thiamin pyrophosphate (TPP) is an essential coenzyme that is synthesised by coupling of pyrimidine and thiazole moieties in bacteria. The previously detected thiamin-regulatory element, thi box was extended, resulting in a new, highly conserved RNA secondary structure, the THI element, which is widely distributed in eubacteria and also occurs in some archaea. Lineage: Bacteria; Bacillati; Bacillota; Bacilli; Caryophanales; Bacillaceae. The record is from RNAcentral.